GAUGAACGCUAGCUACAGGCUUAACACAUGCAAGUCGAGGGGCAGCAUUUUUAGUUUGCUUUGCAAACUGAAGAUGGCGACCGGCGCACGGGUGAGUAACACGUAUCCAACCUACCGAUAACUCCGGAAUAGCCUUUCGAAAGAAAGAUUAAUACCGGAUAGCAUACGAAUAUCGCAUGAUAUUUUUAUUAAAGAAUUUCGGUUAUCGAUGGGGAUGCGUUCCAUUAGUUUGUUGGCGGGGUAACGGCCCAUCAAGACUACGAUGGAUAGGGGUUCUGAGAGGAAGGUCCCCCACAUUGGAACUGAGACACGGUCCAAACUCCUACGGGAGGCAGCAGUGAGGAAUAUUGGUCAAUGGGCGAGAGCCUGAACCAGCCAAGUAGCGUGAAGGAUGAAGGCUCUAUGGGUCGUAAACUUCUUUUAUAUGGGAAUAAAGUUUUCCACGUGUGGAAUUUUGUAUGUACCAUAUGAAUAAGGAUCGGCUAACUCCGUGCCAGCAGCCGCGGUAAUACGGAGGAUCCGAGCGUUAUCCGGAUUUAUUGGGUUUAAAGGGAGCGUAGGUGGAUUGUUAAGUCAGUUGUGAAAGUUUGCGGCUCAACCGUAAAAUUGCAGUUGAAACUGGCAGUCUUGAGUACAGUAGAGGUGGGCGGAAUUCGUGGUGUAGCGGUGAAAUGCUUAGAUAUCACGAAGAACUCCGAUUGCGAAGGCAGCUCACUAGACUGUCACUGACACUGAUGCUCGAAAGUGUGGGUAUCAAACAGGAUUAGAUACCCUGGUAGUCCACACAGUAAACGAUGAAUACUCGCUGUUUGCGAUAUACAGUAAGCGGCCAAGCGAAAGCAUUAAGUAUUCCACCUGGGGAGUACGCCGGCAACGGUGAAACUCAAAGGAAUUGACGGGGGCCCGCACAAGCGGAGGAACAUGUGGUUUAAUUCGAUGAUACGCGAGGAACCUUACCCGGGCUUAAAUUGCAACAGAAUAUAUUGGAAACAGUAUAGCCGUAAGGCUGUUGUGAAGGUGCUGCAUGGUUGUCGUCAGCUCGUGCCGUGAGGUGUCGGCUUAAGUGCCAUAACGAGCGCAACCCUUAUCUUUAGUUACUAACAGGUCAUGCUGAGGACUCUAGAGAGACUGCCGUCGUAAGAUGUGAGGAAGGUGGGGAUGACGUCAAAUCAGCACGGCCCUUACGUCCGGGGCUACACACGUGUUACAAUGGGGGGUACAGAAGGCGGCUACCUGGUGACAGGAUGCUAAUCCCAAAAACCUCUCUCAGUUCGGAUCGAAGUCUGCAACCCGACUUCGUGAAGCUGGAUUCGCUAGUAAUCGCGCAUCAGCCAUGGCGCGGUGAAUACGUUCCCGGGCCU
Molecule: ribosomal RNA, 1361 nt
Filed under: uncultured bacterium
Lineage: Bacteria
Description: bacterial SSU rRNA
Rfam family: Bacterial small subunit ribosomal RNA
Source: RNAcentral